RNAcentral lists this transfer RNA (71 nucleotides) under Salsuginibacillus halophilus. It matches the Rfam family "tRNA". From Rfam's summary of the family: Transfer RNA (tRNA) molecules are approximately 80 nucleotides in length. Their secondary structure includes four short double-helical elements and three loops (D, anti-codon, and T loops). The record is from Rfam by way of RNAcentral. Lineage: Bacteria; Bacillati; Bacillota; Bacilli; Caryophanales; Bacillaceae.
GCGGGUGUAGUUUAGUGGUAAAACCUUGGCCUUCCAAGCCAAUGACGGGGGUUCGAUUCCCCUCACCCGCU